AUCUGGGGGCUGAGGGCAGCACUGGAGCUCUGAUCACCAGAGGCUUUCAGGGGGGAAGUGAGGCUGAAGCCAGCUGGAGGAGCUCCUGGGAUGCCUUAGCCAAGGCAGAAGGUGGUUUUUGAGGGGCAGCUCCCGAGGUGGGGGAGUGUGCUGAAGCUGUGGAGACGUCCUGCAAGCUUGGAGCCUGAGUCUGCAUGAGCUGGCAAAAAGAGGAGCUCCAACACCCAGCUCAGCAAUUACAGAUCCCAGCUUCUGCUCCUCCAGAGACCCAGGAUGGGAUCUGCAUCCAGCUGACCUGGCUGCUGGGGGCACAGAGCAUCUGAGCCCUCUGCCUGGGCUCUUCUGGGGGGCAAGGGAGUUCAAAGGUGAUGCUCUGCCUGUGAAGGAGGGUGUCAGAGCUGCUGUUCAAAGCCAAGAUGUUCCCAUCUUGGCCAGCCUGAUGGCUGACCUGGAUGUCAGCCUCAUUCCUGCACCAGCCCUGCCAAAAUCUCCCUCCUGCCCUGGAGCUAAAGACAAAAGGAGACGUUUCCAUUCCUCCACGAGCUGCAACCUGUAUUUUGCAAGUGAAUUGCUCCUAUCUGCCUGAGACUCUGCUGGUGACAAGCUCGUUAGUUGGUGACACACUGCUCCCAAUUACACAGCAUCCCCCCCUCCCCCAUCCCCCUCCCCAGCCUUUUGAUGCUCCUGAAUGACUGCGUUGGAGAUGAGCACUUCAGAAGGGCAAAGCCUCUGCGUGCUGCCAGCCUGGAGGCUUCGCUGCCAUCCCCUCCAGCAAGGAGCAACCCUGCAGGCUGCUGGCAAGGGGGAGCACAGGGAAGCCUUCAGCCCUGUAUUCCCCUCUCUGCUGGUGAUUCCAGGCUCCCAGGGGAGCAGGCAGGGAGGAAAAGCAGGUUUUGAUCAUCUGGAU
Molecule: long non-coding RNA, 907 nt
Organism: Pogoniulus pusillus (Red-fronted tinkerbird)
Lineage: Eukaryota; Metazoa; Chordata; Aves; Piciformes; Lybiidae
Exons: 3
Source: RefSeq, a predicted model, not a curated record